Molecule: ribosomal RNA, 497 nt
Filed under: uncultured bacterium
Lineage: Bacteria
Description: partial 16S ribosomal RNA
Rfam family: Bacterial small subunit ribosomal RNA
Source: RNAcentral
GAUGAACGCUGGCGGCAUGCCUAAUACAUGCAAGUCGAGCGAACGGAGGAGAAUCUUGCUUCUCUGAUGUUAGCGGCGGACGGGUGAGUAACACGUGGAGAACCUACCUAUAAGACUAGGGUAACUUCUGGAAACCGGAGCGAGUACCGGAUAAUAUUUUCAACCGCAUGGUUCAAAAGUGAAAGACGGUCUUGCUGUCAAGUAUAGAUGGAACCGCGCUGCAUUAGCUAGUUGGUAAGGUAACGGCUUACAAAGGCAACGAUGCAUAGCCGACCUGGGAGAGUGACCGGCCACACUCGGACUGGGAGACGGUCCACACUCCUACGGGGAGCAGCCGUAGGGACUCUCGCGCAACGGCCGAGAGCCUGACUGAGCAACGCCGCAUAGGCGAUGAAGGUCUUCCGGUCUGAAAACUGUGUGAUUAGGGAACAACAUCUGCGUAUGUAGCUGUAGACACCUUGACGGUACCUAAUCAGAAAGCAACGGCUAACUACGUG